This 86-nucleotide transfer RNA is filed under the name Enterococcus faecalis. RNAcentral's name for it is "tRNA-Lys". It matches the Rfam family "tRNA". Rfam says of the family: Transfer RNA (tRNA) molecules are approximately 80 nucleotides in length. Their secondary structure includes four short double-helical elements and three loops (D, anti-codon, and T loops). Further hydrogen bonds mediate the characteristic L-shaped molecular structure. tRNAs have two regions of fundamental functional importance: the anti-codon, which is responsible for specific mRNA codon recognition, and the 3' end, to which the tRNAs corresponding amino acid is attached (by aminoacyl-tRNA synthetases). tRNAs cope with the degeneracy of the genetic code in two manners: having more than one tRNA (with a specific anti-codon) for a particular amino acid; and 'wobble' base-pairing, i.e. permitting non-standard base-pairing at the 3rd anti-codon position. The record is from RNAcentral. RNAcentral also lists the same sequence under 1 other name. Lineage: Bacteria; Bacillati; Bacillota; Bacilli; Lactobacillales; Enterococcaceae.
UGGCGUGCAGCCCGAUUGGUGAGAGCAGUUGGUUUUUAAUCAAUGCUGUAUGCGUGCUUGUGCAGGUUCGAUUCCUGUCACGCCAA